UCUCUCUGUUCCCUCUCUCUCUCUGUUCCCUCGCUCUCUCUCUGUUCCCUCCCUCUCUCUCUGUUCCCUCUCUUCAUUUUGACUAUAUUUUUGUUUAGUGAGGCUCAUCUAGUUGGAUGUCUGCCAUUAUCCAUGAUGUUACGGCAGGUCAGGGAAGAAAUCAAUAGCCGUAACAUCAAUACAACAUUUACAUUUUCUACUACGCACCAAACACUGUUGACAGGGUAAAAUCAUAGCGUCCGAUCACACAGGCUGAGUGUUGGGUCACAAAGGGUUUCCUUUGAACCAGUUAAAACAGACAGAACAGAUGAAGCAACACUGAGUACUGAGCAGGUAGAAUGUCUGUCUGAGUACUGAGCAGGAAGAAUGCCUGUCUGUCUGAGUACUGAGCAGGUAGAAUGUCUGUCUGUCUGAGUACUGAGCAGGUAGAAUGCCUGUCUGUCUGAGUACUGAGCAGGUAGAAUGUCUGUCUGUCUGAGUACUGAGCAGGUAGAAUGUAUGUCUGUCUGAGUACUGAGCAGGUAGAAUGUCUGUCUGUCUCACCUGUCUGUCUGAGUACUGAGCAGGUAGACAGGUAGAAUGUCUGUAUGUCUGAGUACUGAGCAGGUAGAAUGUCUGUCUGUCUCACCUGUCUGUCUGAUUACUGAGCAGGUAGACAGGUAGAAUGUCUGUCUGUCUGAGUACUGAGCAGGUAGACAGGUAGAAUGUCUGUCUGUCUGAGUACUGAGCAGGUAGAAUGUCUGUCUGUCUGAGUACUGAGCAGGUAUAAUGUCUGUCUGUCUCACCUGUCUGUCUGAGUACUGAGCAGGUAGACAGGUAGAAUGUCUGUCUGUCUCACCUGUCUGUCUGAGUACUGAGCUGUAGAUGGGUAGAAUGUCUGUCUGUCUCACCUGUCUGUCUGAGUACUGAGCAGGUAGACAGUUAGAAUGUCUGUCUGUCUGAUUGGACCAACACCUGUCAUUUGAUUCCUUGACUAAAAUGACAAAAAUCACAACAUUAUAUGACAGAUUCAACAUGUCUUUCAUUUGGUUCAGCUGUAAAGUAAUUAACAUUCACAAUGAACCAAAUGUGUUUUUUAUAGCUUUGUUUAGUCUCCAUAUGUUAAGAAAAGCACAGCCAACCAUUCCCUUGUUUUAACUAAGAAUACUGCACUAACAUGGAGGCCAUCAAACUGCUGUCAGCUUUCAGUUCAAGUUCUGAAGUCUUUUCAAGGGGAGAAUGUUGUACACUAGAGAGAAACAACCACUAGAUGUCUACGUUUAUAGGACUAUGUUUUGUUCUUUUAAAGUUAGAAUUUUAAGUGCAUAAAAUCUCUCAUAUUAAUUAUUUUUCAAAAGAAAGUGCCAACUUGUGCAAUGUGAUAUAUCGUUGUAUCUCUAAUACUCACGACAAUGUGAUAUAAAACAAUUAUUCGAGUUAUAUUAUAGUUUUAUGUCAUUUUGUUUGCCUUAUAGGCCCUAUAUGAAUUAAUUAUUGAAAAAUGGUGUGUAAUUUAUGUUUUUAUUUCAGUAAAAAAAAGUGAAUAAAUGGAUGAUGUGAUUUCUGGUAUCUCUAGAAAGUGCUCCUAGAAUAAUUGCUUUAGAUCAGUGGUGUCCAACCCUCCUCCUGGAGAGAUACCCUCCUCCUGGAGAGAUACCCUCCUCCUGGAGAGAUACCCUCCUCCUGGAGAGAUUCCCUCUUCCUGGAGAGAUACCCUCCUCCUGGAGAGAUACCCUGCUGCAGGAUUUUAUUCCAACCCUGCUCCUACACACCAGACUACUAACCAGCUGGUCCCCAAGACCUUGAUUAUCUUGAAUCAGGUGUGUUAGAGCAGGGCUGGAACAGAAGCCUGCAGGAGGCUAAAUCUCUCCAGGAGUUAGGUUGGUCACCCCCUGCAGUAGGUUUUACUACUUUACUAGCCAGGUUGCCAGGUUGGUUUGUACUCCGUCUGCUAUUAUAAAACAGAGGGGUUAGCUGAAACAGAACAGAUCUGGCAACAUGGCUAGUCGAUAACCUCAUGUCCAACAGAAAAUAUCCCUCCCCUCCCCCAGUCCCGCCCCACCAGAGCCCUAAUGCACAGUAGUAGAUUUACCAUAUGUUACAUAGACGAUGAUACAGUACUUGGAAAAGCCAAGAAUCCAUCGUACUAGUAAAUGUUGGGUAAGAUAUCUUCACAUAGCCCCGAGCCAGUUUCCACUGUAGAAGCAGAAACAAUGACAGACAUCUAACUGUGCCCUAACAACGAUGCUUUCUAAGGAUGCAUCCCAAAUGGCACCAUAUACCCUAUAGAGUACACUACUUUUGACCAGUCCCCAUAGAGCUCUGUUCAAAAGUAGGGAAUAGGGUGCCAUGACAAAAUUGCUAUAUAACAGAGAUGCUAUCUAACGGAGAUGCUAUCUAACAGAAAUGCUAUCUAACAGUGAUGCCCUAACAGAGAUGCUAUCUAACAGAGAUGCUCUAACAGAGAUGCUAUCUAACAGAGAUGCUAUCUAACAGAGAUGCCCUAACAUAGAUGCCCUAACAGAGAUGCUAUAUAACAGAGAUGCUAUCUAACAGAGAUGCUAUCUAACAGAGAUGCCCUAACAUAGAUGCUAUCUAACAGAGAUGCUAUCUAACAGAGAUGCUAGCUAACAGAGAUGCUAUCUAACAGAGAUGCUAUCUAACAGAGAUGCUCUAACAGAGAUGCUCUAACAGAGAUGCUAUCUAACAGAGAUGCUAUCUAACAGAGAUGCCCUAACAUAGAUGCCCUAACAGAGAUGCUAUCUAACAGAGAUGCUAUCUAACAGAGAUGCCCUAACAUAGAUGCUAUCUAACAGAGAUGCUAUCUAACAGAGAUGCUAGCUAACAGAGAUGCUAUCUAACAGAGAUGCUAGCUAACAGAGAUGCUAGCUAACAGAGAUGCUAUCUAACAGAGAUGCUAGCUAACAGAGAUGCUAUCUAACAGAGAUGCUAGCUAACAGAGAUGCUAUCUAACAGAGAUGCUAUCUAACAGAGUUGCUAUCUAACAGAGAUGCUAUCUAACAGAGAUGCCCUAACAGAGAUGUCCUAACAGUGUCUUCCAGCGUCCCACUAGUCUCAUGCAGCAGUGAUGAAUCAGGCAUGUAUUCUCUUUCCUCCUUCAGUGUGUGACUUCUCAUCUCUCUGGGCCCAUCCCAAAUGGCACCCAAUUCCCUAUAGGGCUCUGGUCAAAAGUAGCGCACUAUAUAGGGAUUAGGAUACCAUUGGGGAUGCAGCCUCUUUGCCUGUGAGUGGGGAUUCCCAGUGUUAGAGACACCGGCAAGACAGAAACAUGACGGGCGGUAGCCUGGGAGCCAAACUGAAUAUUGUUCUGAAUAUUGUUCUGAAUAUCACUGUGAAUAUCACUCUAAAUAUCACUGUGAAUAGCACUCUAAAUAUCACUGUGAACAUCACUCUAAAUAUCACUGUGAAUAUCACUCUAAAUAUCACUGAAUAUCACUGAAUACCAUUGAAUAUCACUGAAUAUCACUGAAUAUCACUUUGAAUAUCACUGUGAAUAUCACUGUGAAUAUCACUGUGAAUAUCACUGAAUAUCACUGUGAAUAUCACUGAAUAUCACUGAAUAUCACUGAAUAUCACUGAAUAUCACUUUGAAUAUCACUGUGAAUAUCACUGUGAAUAUCACUGGGAAUAUCACUGAAUAUCACUGUGAAUAUCACUGAAUAUCACUGAAUAUCACUGAAUAUCACUUUGAAUAUCACUGAAUAUCACUGAAUAUCACUGAAUAUCACUGUGAAUAUCACUGUGAAUAUCAGUGAAUAUCACUUUGAAUAUCACUGAAUAUCACUUUGAAUAUCACUGUGAAUAUCACAGGGAAACAGAGAUAUAUAUCCAAUGUGUUUUCCAGGCUGUUAUUGUAGUACCACACCAUUGCACUGGGGAUGUGGAUCUGUUGAAUGUGAGGGACAUUUCACUGUUAUUGUCUGACAAACUCUAAGAUAACAUUUAGAUGAAAUCAUUUAAUUUAGAUUUGAAUCAGUUGUUCUAUUGAUGUCCUGCGUGUGUUAUUGAAAGACGUAGAAGGUUUGACAGAACGACAUCAUGGUGGGAGAAGACUGUAUAGUUAGUCAGCAUUUGGUUUAUUUACAUGUAUUUAUAUUUUCCAAUUCAACGUGCACAGUUUUGAGAAGCUAACUGACAUAAAAUGGUGAGGAAACAGACAGAACAGUCAUAAUACCUGUGACUAGCAGCUAGCUACAUGUGCAUACUGUAUAAACAACAGACCAUAUAUGAUAUUACAAUAUUGGUAUUUUGCGUUGGAGACAGCCAACAGUGUUGUUUAAGUUUUAGGUUUGCAUCUCAAAUGGCACCCUAUUCCCUAUAUAGUGCACUACUUUGACCAGUGCUCCAUGGGUCCUGUUCAAAAGUAGGGCACUAUAAAGGUAAUAGGGUGCCAUUUGAGAUCCAGGUCCAGCCUCAGUACCAGAGACCCAGUUCUAUCCUCAGUAACAGAGACCCAGUUCUAUCCUCAGUACCAGAGACCCAGUUCUAGUCUCAGUACCAGAGACCCAGUUCUAGUCUCAGUAACAGAGACCCAGUUCUAGUCUCAGUACCAGAGACCCAGUUCUUAUCCUCAGUACCAGAGACCCAGUUCUAUUCUCAGUACCGGAGACCCAGUUAUAUCCCCAGUACCAGAGACCUAGUUCUAUCUUCAGUACCAGGGACCCAGUUCUAGCCUCAGUACCAGAGACCCAGUUCUAUCCUCAGUACCAGAGACCCAGUUCUAGUCUCAGUACCAGAGACCCAGUUCUAGCCUCAGUACCAGAGACCCAGUUAUAUCCUCAGUACCAGAGACCCAGUUCUAGUCUCAGUACCAGGGACCCAGUUCUAUCCUCAGUACCAGAGACCCAGUUAUAUCCUCAGUACCAGAGACCCAGUUCUAUCCUCAGUACCAGAGACCCAGUUUUAUCCCCAGUACCAGAUACCCAGUUCUAUCCUCAGUACCAGGGACCCAGUUCUAGUCUCAGUACCAGAGACCCAGUUCUAUCCUCAGUACCAGAGACCCAGUUCUAUCCUCAAUACCAGAGACCCAGUUCUAGCCUCAGUACCAGGGACCCAGUUCUAUCCUCAGUACCAGAGACCCAGUUCUAGUCUCAGUACCAGAGACCCAGUUCUAGUCUCAGUACCAGAGACCCAGUUCUAUCCUCAGUACCAGAGACCCAGUUCUAUCCUCAGUACCAGAGACCCAGUUCUAUCUUCAGUACCAGAGACCCAGUUCUAGCCUCAGUACCAGAGACCCAGUUCUAGUCUCAGUACCAGAGACCCAGUUCUAUCCUCAGUACCGGAGACCCAGUUCUAUCCUCAGUA
This is a long non-coding RNA of Oncorhynchus kisutch (coho salmon), 5304 nucleotides long. RefSeq lists it as uncharacterized. The transcript has 2 exons. The record is from RefSeq and is a predicted model, not a curated record. Lineage: Eukaryota; Metazoa; Chordata; Actinopteri; Salmoniformes; Salmonidae.